GAAUUCGAUUAACGCGAAGAACCUUACCCAGGCUCGAACGGCAACUGACAUCCGGCGAAAGCCGGCUCCCGCAAGGGCAGUUGUCGAGGUGCUGCAUGGCUGUCGUCAGCUCGUGUCGUGAGAUGUUGGGUUAAGUCCCGCAACGAGCGCAACCCUUGUCCGCUGUUGCCAUCAGGUUAUGCUGGGCACUCUGCGGAGACUGCCGGUGAUAAACCGGAGGAAGGUGGGGAUGACGUCAAGUCAGCAUGGCCUUUAUGUCUGGGGCUACACACGUGCUACAAUGGCAGAUACAAACCGUCGCGAUGCCGCAAGGUGGAGCUAAUCGGAGAAAAUCUGUCUCAGUUCGGAUUGCAGGCUGCAACUCGCCUGCAUGAAGUUGGAAUCGCUAGUAAUCGCGGAUCAGCACGCCGCGGUGAAUACGUUCCCGGGCCUUGUCACACCGAAUCACUA
RNAcentral lists this ribosomal RNA (450 nucleotides) under uncultured soil bacterium. Its description in RNAcentral is "bacterial SSU rRNA". It matches the Rfam family "Bacterial small subunit ribosomal RNA", at positions 947 to 1384 of the family's 1533-position model. The record is from RNAcentral.